This 20-nucleotide ribosomal RNA is filed under the name Trebouxia simplex. Its description in RNAcentral is "partial 28S ribosomal RNA". Lineage: Eukaryota; Viridiplantae; Chlorophyta; Trebouxiophyceae; Trebouxiales; Trebouxiaceae. The record is from RNAcentral.
UCGACCUGAGGUCAGGCARG